Coffea arabica (coffee) is the source of this 696-nucleotide non-coding RNA. NCBI's taxonomy places the organism in Eukaryota, Viridiplantae, Streptophyta, Magnoliopsida, Gentianales, Rubiaceae. The record is from RefSeq and is a predicted model, not a curated record.
AGGAGUCCUACAGAUCACGAAGCCGGAAGCCUGCAACUGACAGGAAACCAGUUUUCCUUUCGUCCAUGUCGCAGUAGUGCUAGAAGUUAAAAGGCAAGUGUUUUCGACGUUUCGUUGAUAGAAGACGCUAGAAGUACAGCGGUGGAAAUGGAAUGAAGCAAAGAACGGAGCAGCAUCCGUUAGCUGGCGGGGCCGAUACUGAAGUGUGGGGAGAUUUACGAGAGGAUUGAGAGCGCCAAGCAGCAGCAGUUGAUGGGGGUUGGGGAAGCAGAGGCCUGAGUUUAUUGAAGGAUUUGGAGUUUGAGAAAAUGAACAUGUUUCUGGAGGCUCAGCUUUAGCUUGAGAACUUGAAGCGGCCUUCCGGAAGUGCUUCCUGAUCAGGAAAGAAGAUGUAGCCGAGAUGCCAUCAACAUGUAACUCUCGGAAGUCAGAGCAGUUACAAGCCCACCCCAAAGACUGGCAAAGUAGUGCUUAGUUCUUAAGCGCUUGUAGGAGAACAUCAAUUGAAUUUACAGAGUCUUAGCUGUUGUCAAUAUUUGUUGUUGCUCUAGUUGUUGUACAUUACUCAAUUUACUUCUAGUAUGUUCAUGUGACUUUCAACAAAUCUGCAGCAGUAGAAGGUGUAAUUGCUAGCCUGAUUUUGGUUGCUGAAUGCUUAGAUUAAAGUUUAAUGAACUGUUUCUUUCAUUUAAGAAA